UUUGCUUGCCCCUUGUGAUUCCUCAUUAUGGGGAGAGAGUAGGGGGCUUAGAAGGAGGGUUUUAAAGCAACUUUUUCUUGGCAAAGAAUACACCAAAGAUGGAUCUAGAAUUUGAAGUCAAUUUGUACUAUUUUAUUGGAUUGUUGGAUCUAUAUCUUUGCAUAAAAAGUGUUAAUUGGGAGAUUUGAAUGAAGUUGAGAACAAAAAGGAUCAAAAGAUCAAGAAAACAUGGGUUUGGAAGAAUUGGAAGGGCUUAUUAUUUCAUGGUAAGUACUUUGUGUAAGUGUUAUUUGGAUAUUUUCAAAUUUGACUUGCUCUUUGCAAGGUUUGCAUUGUUUUUUGGAAUUGUUUGUUAAUUAGCUAUAUAACUUUGGUUCCCAAAAGACAAUUGUGUUAUAUGGGUUUAGUUCUCGUAGAAGUUGCAUCUUUACUAAUAUCGUUGUUGUUUGGAUUUGGAUUAGUAACGUAUUUAGAUGCCUCCAUAUUGUUGGAAAGUUGUUCUCGUCGCUUUCCAACCACUUGCUUGGGUGGUAGAGUUAGUGGGGAGAUGUUUCUCAAAUAGGAUAGUUGGUUAAAUUGAUAGAAAAAGACUUGUUGUGGGGUGAGUGUUUGGAACGUUCGGAUUGAAUAUGAAAAUUUUGAUUCACGUAUUGAAGAAAUUACAAUCCAAAUAAGAUUUUAAUGGAUUGAAUUUUUAAAUUACGAUUUUGGAUUGAUCGAUUUGGAUGUUUUGAAUUUAACUUUUGAGCCUUUAAGUUCGUUCAUAACAAUCAACUAUCCCAAUUCACCUAAUACUUUGCUUUUUAAUUGUGAUCACUCUAUUGAUCAUGUCGUGUAAUCAGAGAGGGAGUCGGGAUUAGGAGUUUGAGGUUCUAAAUUUUAGUAUAGAAGAGGAUUUUGGGGAUCUAGAUCUUAGGAUAGAAGAAAUGAGUUUGGAGAAUCUAAAUUAUUGGACAAAAGAGAUGAUGCUUCAUUUUUAAAAAAAGAGAAACUUUUGUUGAUAGUGUUGUUAGAAUCCACAACAUUAGUGUUUCCAUGAGUCAUCAAACUAUUUUAUAAGGGAUUCACAAGUGAUAUAUAAUUUUCUAAUACAAAUACAGAGUCUACAAAAAAGUUAUUGAAUUGUCUGAACCCACAAACCCCCACUUAGCUUACCAUUGAGUCGUCAAUCAAUUUUAUAAGGGAUUCACAAGUUAUACAUAAUUUUAUGAUGCCAAUAUAGAGUCCACGAUAAAGUUAUUGAAUUCGUCUGAACCCACGAACCCCACUUAGCUCUGCCUUUGAGUGUAAUUUCAUAUUGAACCUAAUAAUAUAAUGAGUAAGUCAUAAGGUACUAAUUUUAUUGGACCUCGAAAGAGUUGGACUUGUUAGUAUUGCACAUAUGACAUCGAUAGGGUUGAAUAUAAGGUGCAUCCAAUGAUUUGGCCUAGUGGUCAACAAAGUGGGUUGAGAAUCAUGAGAUUUCAAGUUUAAAUUCUAGCGGAGAGAAAAUUAGUAGGUGAUUUCUUCUCAUAUGCCUAUUUGUGUUUGGAUGUCUAUUCGUGUUUGGGCAAAUAUCAUUGAUAUAUAUUGUGAGAGUGUUGUUUGCAAUCAAGAAUUGACUCAUCUAAAAAUGAGUAGUAGAAAUGAGGAUGUUUAAAUAAAUAUAUGUGCAUAAUAAGGAAAGAUAGGAUUACAAAAGAAACUAUUCGAGAUAAGGUGUAUCUGCAAUAGACAAGAUGUGUGAUGUGACACUAAGAUGGUUUGGACAUACGAAGAACUGGCACUUCUAAAAGUGAGUUGUGAACAUUAGGAUGCUUAAAUGAAUAUAUGUGCAUAUUAGGAGAGAUAGGAUCAGAAAAGAAACUAUUCAGGACAAGGUAGAGAGAGUGGCCUUGCAAUGGACAAAAUGAGUGAAACGACACUAAGAUGGUUUGGACAUGUGAGGAAUAAAUGUUCCAAUCAAAAGGUGUGGUAGACAAAAAAAAGUCUUGGAUUGAGGUUAUUAGACAUGAUAUGACACACAUGUGGUUUAUCAAACACAUGAUGCUAGAUAUGAAGAUAUAGAGGUUGAUGAUUAAGAUUUAAGAUUGAAGAUUGAAGAUUAGUAUGUAGUUGAGUUUUGUUUGGUUCCCCGAUCGUUAUUAGUAUUGUUACUCUCCUCCUGGUUUUAUUAUUUGGUUUUUAUGUUACCCGUUGUUUACUAUGCUUCAAUUAUCGUACAUUUUGUUAUUAUUGCUUACUUUUUUCUUAAUUGUUUUCAGCACAUCUUUGUUAUUAUAUUUGUUUUACUUUUUUUGAUAUAUUUAACUUGAGUCGAGAAUCUAUUGAAUCAACAUAUUUAUCAAGAUAGAGGCAAAGAUUCAUACACGCCCUCUUUUCAAAACCUCAUUAUGGAAUAACUAAAGGGGUCGUUUGAUAGGGUGUAUAAGUUGUAUUAAUGAUGUUUGCAUUAGUUAUGUCGAGAUUAUUUUUUAUGCAUUGUUUGGUUUUGGUGUAUUAAAAAAUAACAUGCAUUCCAUAAUUUUUUUAAAAAAAAUAUUUACAAAGAUAUCCUCCACUUAAAAAAUGUAGAAGAAAGUUUUGAGAGGAAAUUUGGUCUUUAUAUGUUAAUGCAUGCAUUAAAUUUCUUUGCACUACUAAUACUAUGGAUUUUCAUGUAUUAGCAAUGCACACUUAGGGGUCGUUUGGUAGAGUGUAUUAAAAAAAAUAAUGCAUGUAUUAGCCUUGUGUAGUACUAGUACAUUGUUUGGUACUCUUUUCCAACCUAUGUAUAACUAAUACUUGCAUUAGUUAUAUACUCUAUUAUGUAUUAAAGUGUGUAUUGCUAAUACCAUGGAUUUCUAGGUAUUAGCAAUACAAUGAUUUUAACGCAUGCAUUAACUUAAUUAAAGACCCAAUUAAUCCUCAAUACCUUUUUUUUAUAUCUUUUCCAUCAUAAUAGUGAAGGGUAUCUUUGUAAAUAAUUUUUUUAAUGCAUCAAACCAAACAAUACAUAAAAAUAAUAUAUGUAUUAUUAAUGCAAGCAUUACUAAUACAUGCAUUGCUAAUGCAAGCAUUAUUAAUACACUUUAUUUAGCAUUAUUUUUAUACAAUCUACUAAACAAUUCCUUAAUACAUUAGUGUAUAACUAAUGCAGACAAUAACUGUACAUAGCAUGAAAAAGUGUAUCAAACAAAUAUUACUUAUACAUAAAGCUAAUGCAUGCAGAAGUGUAUCAAAUAAGAUAUAUUACUAAUACACAAAACUAAUGUAUGCAUUAUUUUUGCGAUUGCACUACCAUCUAACCCUCAACUCGGUGCAAUUGAAUUCUCCGUGAAGAUGCGGAGUACCAACGACUAGACGGUAAGACCCUGUGCACCUUAACUAUAGUUCGCAGUGACAACCUUAAUCGAAUAUGUAGGAUAGGUGGGGAGGUGGUGACACACAACGACCAAUCCUGAAAGACCAUUCUUUCGUCUAAGGAUGCCUAAUCGUCGCACCGAUCAUUUGAGGGGAGGCGGGAUACUGCGAGGUGGGUAGUUUAUCUGGGGCAGAUGCCUCCUAACGAGUAACGGAGGUGUGCGAAGGUAGGCUCAAGCUAAGAUGCUACUCAUGAGCUUAAUGGUACAAGUCUGACUGUGAGACUGGUCAAACUGAGACGAAAGUCGGCCAUAGUGAAAGUAUAUUGUCGUUGCUGCGUGUACGUCUUAGUUUUAGUGCACUAUAUUGAUUUUCAAGAAUGACCAAUUUUAGAGCAAUAAUUCAAUUGAUGCUUCAAACUUUGUAGACACGCAGGGUCGUUUAGUUUGAAGACAUCUUAGGAUAAGA
Molecule: long non-coding RNA, 3789 nt
Filed under: Solanum tuberosum (potato)
Lineage: Eukaryota; Viridiplantae; Streptophyta; Magnoliopsida; Solanales; Solanaceae
Description: long non-coding RNA (STUB_LNC003082)
Rfam family: Bacterial large subunit ribosomal RNA (bases 3287-3789)
Source: RNAcentral